Molecule: transfer RNA, 81 nt
Filed under: Pseudomonas aeruginosa
Lineage: Bacteria; Pseudomonadati; Pseudomonadota; Gammaproteobacteria; Pseudomonadales; Pseudomonadaceae
Rfam family: tRNA
About the family: Transfer RNA (tRNA) molecules are approximately 80 nucleotides in length. Their secondary structure includes four short double-helical elements and three loops (D, anti-codon, and T loops).
Source: Rfam by way of RNAcentral
GGAGGGAUCCCUUAGUGGCCAAAGGAUCAGACUGUAAAUCUGACGUCAUAGACUUCGAAGGUUCGAAUCCUUCUCCCUCCA